GACGAACGCUGGCGGCGUGCCUAAUACAUGCAAGUCGAACGAGUGGCGGACGGGUGAGUAAUGUCUGGGAAACUGCCUGAUGGAGGGGGAUAACUACUGGAAACGUUAUCUCAUACCGCAUACCAUCAGAUGUGCCCAGAUGGGAUUAGCUUUGUGGUGGGGUAAAGGCUAACCAAGGCGACGAUCCCUAGCUGGUCUGAGAGGAUGACCAGCCACACUGGAACUGAGACACGGUCCAGACUCCUACGGGAGGCAGCAGUGGGGAAUAUUGCACAAUGGGCGAAAGCCUGAUGCAGCCAUGCCGCGUGUAUGAAGAAGGCCUUCGGGUUGUAAAGUACUUUCAGCGGGGAGGCGUUACCCGCAGAAGAAGCACCGGCUAACUCCGUGCCAGCAGCCGCGGUAAUAC
Molecule: ribosomal RNA, 406 nt
Filed under: uncultured bacterium
Lineage: Bacteria
Description: partial 16S ribosomal RNA
Rfam family: Bacterial small subunit ribosomal RNA
Source: RNAcentral